GAUGAACGCUGGCGGCGUGCCUAAUACAUGCAAGUCGAGCGAACGGACGAGAAGCUUGCUUCUCUGAUGUUAGCGGCGGACGGGUGAGUAACACGUGGAUAACCUACCUAUAAGACUGGGAUAACUUCGGGAAACCGGAGCUAAUACCGGAUAAUAUUUUGAACCGCAUGGUUCAAAAGUGAAAGACGGUCUUGCUGUCACUUAUAGAUGGAUCCGCGCUGCAUUAGCUAGUUGGUAAGGUAACGGCUUACCAAGGCAACGAUGCAUAGCCGACCUGAGAGGGUUGUCCGGCCCCCUGGGACCUGAGCACCGUCCCGGCUCCCUCCGGGGGCCGCCGGUGGGGAUUCUUCCGCAUUGGCCGAAACCCUACCGGAGCACCGCCGCGUGGUUGAUGAAGGUCUUCGGUUCGUAAAACCCUUUAUUAGGGAAGAACAUAUGUGUAAGUAACUGUGCACAUCUUGACGGUACCUAAUCAGAAAGCCACGGCUAACUACGUG
Molecule: ribosomal RNA, 497 nt
Filed under: uncultured bacterium
Lineage: Bacteria
Description: partial 16S ribosomal RNA
Rfam family: Bacterial small subunit ribosomal RNA
Source: RNAcentral